ACCUUCCAAUUUCCUUACACACCAGACCUAAGCACUAAUCUGAGUCGUUAUAAAAGCAGUAAAAGUAAAAUUGAAACUGACUAUAAUUCUUUGGUGAUACACAAGCCAGUUUCAAACAAAC
Molecule: small nucleolar RNA, 121 nt
Filed under: Echinops telfairi (small Madagascar hedgehog)
Lineage: Eukaryota; Metazoa; Chordata; Mammalia; Afrosoricida; Tenrecidae
Description: Small nucleolar RNA SNORA61 (ENSETEG00000026371.1)
Source: RNAcentral